AUAAAACAAAAUAGUUUUGCCACUGCAGACUUUGUAAAUGAAAAUUAAUCAAACAAACAAAAUGUAUGAAAUUAAAAUGAUUACCAAAAGAAGCUUGAUUUAUCUUGCAACAAAAAUUAAAAUUAUUGCAAAGAAAAGGAACCGUUACCAGGACACAGAGUUAUCGGGACAUAGUUUGUAAUCUCAAAGUAACACAAGGUUAUGAAAUUAGCACACUUUAAAAUUGUUAAGUAAGAUUCUUCUUUAUAAAGACUAGUUUCAGCAGGUAUUUG
Molecule: long non-coding RNA, 272 nt
Filed under: Homo sapiens (human)
Lineage: Eukaryota; Metazoa; Chordata; Mammalia; Primates; Hominidae
Description: HSALNT0194838
Source: RNAcentral